GUACACUCCUGCGGGAGGCAGCAGUGAGGAAUAUUGGACAAUGGGUGGAAGCCUGAUCCAGCCAUCCCGCGUGCAGGAAGACGGCCCUAUGGGUUGUAAACUGCUUUUAUCUGGGGAUAAACCUACUUACGUGUAAGUAGCUGAAGGUACCAGUAGAAUAAGCACCGGCUAACUCCGUGCCAGCAGCCGCGGUAAUACGGAGGGUGCAAGCGUUAUCCGGAUUUAUUGGGUUUAAAGGGUCCGUAGGCGGACUGAUAAGUCAGUGGUGAAAUCCGACAGCUUAACUGUCGAACUGCCAUUGAUACUGUUAGUCUUGAGUAAGGUUGAAGUGGCUGGAAUAAGUAGUGUAGCGGUGAAAUGCAUAGAUAUUACUUAGAACACCAAUUGCGAAGGCAGGUCACUAAGUCUUAACUGACGCUGAUGGACGAAAGCGUGGGGAGCGAACAGGAUUAGAAACCCGUGUAGUCCCAUG
RNAcentral lists this ribosomal RNA (472 nucleotides) under uncultured organism. RNAcentral's name for it is "partial 16S ribosomal RNA". It matches the Rfam family "Bacterial small subunit ribosomal RNA", at positions 331 to 799 of the family's 1533-position model. The record is from RNAcentral.